AGCAGCCGCCGCGGUAAUACGUAGGGUGCAAGCGUUAAUCGGAAUUACUGGGCGUAAAGCGUGCGCAGGCGGUUAUAUAAGACAGAUGUGAAAUCCCCGGGCUCAACCUGGGAACUGCAUUUGUGACUGUAUAGCUAGAGUACGGCAGAGGGGGAUGGAAUUCCGCGUGUAGCAGUGAAAUGCGUAGAUAUGCGGAGGAACACCGAUGGCGAAGGCAAUCCCCUGGGCCUGUACUGACGCUCAUGCACGAAAGCGUGGGGAGCAAACAGGAUUAGAGACCCCCGUAGUCCCUGUCUCUUAUAA
RNAcentral lists this ribosomal RNA (303 nucleotides) under uncultured bacterium. RNAcentral's name for it is "partial 16S ribosomal RNA". It matches the Rfam family "Bacterial small subunit ribosomal RNA", at positions 507 to 809 of the family's 1533-position model. The record is from RNAcentral.